Molecule: ribosomal RNA, 492 nt
Filed under: uncultured bacterium
Lineage: Bacteria
Description: partial 16S ribosomal RNA
Rfam family: Bacterial small subunit ribosomal RNA
Source: RNAcentral
AGUGAACGCUGGCGGUAGGCCUAACACAUGCAAGUCGAACGGCAGCACAGUAAGAGCUUGCUCUUACGGGUGGCGAGUGGCGGACGGGUGAGGAAUACAUCGGAAUCUACUUUUUCGUGGGGGAUAACGUAGGGAAACUUACGCUAAUACCGCAUACGACCUACGGGUGAAAGCAGUGGAUCUUCGGACCUUGCGCGAUUGAAUGAGCCGAUGUCGGAUUAGCUAGUUGGCGGGGUAAAGGCCCACCAAGGCGACGAUCCGUAGAUGGUCUGAGAGGAUGAUCAGCCACACUGGAACUGAGACACGGUCCAGACUACUACGGGAGGAAGCAGUGGGGAAUAUUGGACAAUGGGGGAAAGCAUGAUCCAGACAUACCGCGUGGGUGAAGAAGGCCUUCGGGUUGUAAAGCCCUUUUGUUGGGAAAGAAAAGCAGCAGGUUAAUACCCCGCUGUUCUGACGGUACCCAAAGAAUAAGCACCGGCUAACUUCGUG